CACAUCAGCUCGAGUGAGAAUACGCGCUAAACUUAAGCAUAUCAGUCAGCGCACGUAAUAAUAGAAACUAACCAGGAUUCCCUUAGUAACGGCGAGUGAACUGGGAUGCCAAUAUAAAAUAUGUACCUCGCGUGCAUAAAUUAGCCCGUCGAUACUAUCCUAGCGUAUGUACCGGUCUUCGGGUCGGUACUCAAAUACGCGGGAAUUGUAGCAUCGUAAUAAAAUAUACAGCACGCACACACACACACUGCCAACAUGCGUACCACUUGUAAACACACAGCGUCUCCGCGUUGAAGCAAGUUAUAUCCUCUUGGAUAUGCCAUAGAGUGUGACAGCCACGUUUCACCCUUAGUACGCACACACACAUACACACGGCUCGUGCGAGUGCAAUACGUAUAUAUUCUAUAACCUGAGUCGAGUUAUUUGGGACUAUAGCUCUAAUAGUUUGGUUGGUGGUAAUGACACAUCAAAGGCUAAAUAUUGGUUAGUCGAUGCAUAUUGCGGAGACCGAUAGCAUACAAGUACCGUAAGGAACGAUGAAAAGCACCCUAUUGAGUUCACGGCGCAGACUCUGAUACUUCUGUAUCUUGUCCAGCGCCAACAACUACAGUGGGAGUGAAAGAGAGAGUGAAAUCGCCUAUAUAUAUAACAUAUGCACUACACACAGUAACUGCAUGCAGUCAGCGUUAGUACAAUCGGACAGAGUGUCGUAUAUAACAUAUGGCCGCCUAAUACAUAUCCAUACAAUGUAUUAUGGCCUGGCCCAUAGUGGGUUCGCCCGCUAUACGCGACACGACUGUACGACCCGUUUUGAAACACGGACCAAGGAGUUCAACUGGAUUACGAGUCGUCGAGCAUAUAUAUUUUCCAAUAUUUAUACUCACACGGCAUAGCGAAAGCAACCUUAAUCCUUUAUACAGUGCUAGGUCGGCCGUCAAAAGCUCGACCGCAGCACGCGCUGAGUGAGUAUAUACGUGCGGACCUCCGCGUCAACGCGUAUACCUGCGUUUAUUCACAGGAUCACUCAAGCGUUCAACGAGUAUAUCUUGUUGAGACCCGAAAGAUGGUGAACUAUGCUCGGAUAUGGCGAAGUCAGGUGAAAACUUGAUGGAAGCUUGCGUUGUGCGGAACUGACGUGCAAAUCGUUACCGCCUAACCUGAGUAUAGGGGCGAAAGACUCAUCGAACCAUCUAGUAGCUGGUUCCCUCCGAAGUUUCCCUCAGGAUAGCUCAGUGCAAUAAAAAAAAUCCAAUGGCGUAGCACAAAGGGUAAAGCAAUGAUACGCGGUAUCUGUGGGUCUUAUUUAAAUGACCUCGGCCUUCUCUCAAACUUUAAAUCUGUGCGUAACUAUUAUUUAUAGCGUGUACCUAAUACUUAUUGUGGACACAGCAAUAUAAUAGCAAUGACUCGUAGUGGGCCAUUUCUGGUAAGCAGAACUGGCGAUGAGGGAUUCAACCUGACGUUUUAAAGAUAAGCGGGCUUAAUCAUAUCUGCUCUAACCUUCCGAUAAACGCGAAAGGGUAUUCCAUGUGGUGUAGACAGCAGGACGGUGGCCAUGGAAGUUGGAAUCCGCUAAGGAGUGCGUAAC
RNAcentral lists this ribosomal RNA (1588 nucleotides) under Ammonia aberdoveyensis. Its description in RNAcentral is "partial 28S ribosomal RNA". It matches the Rfam family "Eukaryotic large subunit ribosomal RNA", at positions 1 to 1286 of the family's 3401-position model. The record is from RNAcentral. Lineage: Eukaryota; Foraminifera; Rotaliida; Rotaliidae.